This 482-nucleotide ribosomal RNA is filed under the name uncultured bacterium. RNAcentral's name for it is "partial 16S ribosomal RNA". It matches the Rfam family "Bacterial small subunit ribosomal RNA", at positions 30 to 507 of the family's 1533-position model. The record is from RNAcentral.
AUUGAACGCUGGCGGCAUGCUUUACACAUGCAAGUCGAACGGUAACAGGCCGCAAGGUUCUGACGGGUGGCGCACGGGUGAGUAAUGCAUCGGAACGUGCCCAGUCGUGGGGGAUAACUACUCGAAAGAGUAGCUAAUACCGCAUACGAUCUAUGGAUGAAAUCGGGGGACCGUAAGGCCUCGCGCGAUUGGAGCGGCCGAUGUCAGAUUAGGUAGUUGGUGGGGUAAAGGCUCACCAAGCCAAGGAUCUGUAGCUGGUCUGAGAGUACGACCAGCCACACUGGGACUGAGACACGGCCCAGACUCCUACGGGAGGCAGCAGUGGGGAAUUUUGGACAAUGGGCGCAAGCCUGAUCCAGCAAUGCCGCGUGCAGGAAGAAGGCCUUCGGGUUGUAAACUGCUUUUGUACGGAACGAAACGGCUCUGGUUAAUACCCGGGGCUAAUGACGGUACCGGAAGAAUAAGCACCGGCUAACUACGUG